UUAUUUUUUAUUUUAUUUUUUAUUUUUAAAAUACUAGAUUUAGCCUGCUUUGGGAAAAGGGUUAUGGAGCCUUUUUAUAGUGUUUAGAGAGAAGGGGCAAGGCUCUUCCCAGGUGAUGUGAGAUUAGUUUUGCCUUAUUUUCCAUCAAAAACUUUCCUUAAAAAACUUUUCUAAAACCCUAAUGCAUAUGCAUGCUUAGGGUUUAUGUAAGGUUUUUCUCUUCCAAAAACAUCCUUCAACUAAAAAGCUCCUUUGGCUAGGCCCUAGAUCAAUCAUAGACCUAUCUAGUGAUAUAGUCAUUGGGGAAUGAGAGUUCGAGUUGUAAGGGGUACAAAAUGAGAUGUCUACAAAUAUACUUCAAAAAAUUUACCUCCUAAUUCAUGUGAUUAAAUGAAUUGUAUAAACUAUUCCAUAUUUCAUAUAACAAAUCAUUGGAAGCAUUGAUGUUCACCUUGUCCAUACAUUGGUAUUUCUUGAAGUCCGUGUGAUGCUUAUAUUUAUGAUUAUGUUUGUUUUAGAUUUAUAUUUCUUUUACUUUUUAUUGUGCAUGUUUAUGUUUAUUUAUUUUUCUUUUCAAUUUAUUAUUUAAUUUGCAAACAAGUAAUAAUGUUAGGGAAAAAAGAGGUUGAGUAAAGGCUAAAGAUAUCAAUGUAAGAAAAUGGGCAUGGUUUGUUGUACAUGGAACAAAGCUGAUUUUGUAUCUUUUAAGAUCUUAUACUCUCCUAUGGUUUCCUUAAUGAUGUAUCCCAGGUUGCCAAAUGACGUUCCAAAUACAAAUUUCUUUUAAUAUUUAAAUUUUUGAUUAGUUCAAUGCAACACAGAAUUUCUUAUUUCGAAAAUAAUAUAAACCACAAAAUGCUUUAUCUUUGUCACUACAAUUUUUGGUGCUAUCAUUGGGGCAUUGAAAAAUAAUAUAAUUAGCUUUCACCCAAUUACGUUUUUUGCUCUAAACUUUCAUCCAAAUCUCAAAAUUUUCAAGAUAGGCUUUUGUAAUUUAGUUUUUGCUGACUUUUAGCAAGUCUUUCAUUUCCAACUUCUUUAUAAAUAAAGGGGAACACCCACCAUUAGGGAAAAACUUCUCCCAUAAUUCAUUAAAAUCCUACAGGAAUAAGAAAAACCUCUUUUGGUCGAAUAACUAUUAAUAAUUGAACCAUUCCUUUAAAUAUUAUUUGUAGUUCUUCAUUUAAUGGUUCUCAGGAUGACAAUUAUAACACAUAUGAUAUAUAUAUAUAUAUAAACACAUACGAAAAUCAAUAGGCUGAAUGCUCCAAACUACAGCGACGAUUUGAUGACCUGAAGAGAAAAAAAGACUGUCAAGGGUGAUCGGGGUGAACUAGCCAAGGACUCUCCGACGGUUAAGUCAGUUUUCUCUUUCUAGAACACAAGGAUAGUGAGUAGGUGAAUAGUAAAACGUACCUUGGGUUGAUGGUGUUAGAUCCCUUUUAUAGAGAGCUUUUAGUGGAUCUACUUGUUUGGAUCCACUACCAUCAUGUGAGAUGUGUGGGAUUAGUGGAGAAAAUGGGGUGGAUUUUGGGGAAUCCUCCCCACGUUCCGGAAUGAUAGAAUAUGGUCCAAUUGUUUGGUGUUUGUAGAAGAAUCCUUUGAAAUUUACUAAGUGUCAUUUGGUCGUCCAUGCCUUUUUAUGACAUGGACAACUAGACUACCCUGGACGAUCAUAACAUUUGUGGACGAAUCCUAUUUAUUAUCUGUGGUACCUUUUAUUUGGCUCCUUUUCCUAUGAACUAGUCUAGACGUGGUUUGGUCAUGGACGACCAUCAUGGACAAAUGGAACUUGAUUUAGCCCACCAUUAUUUGCCCCCUUGUCCUUGUGUUGUCCAUACUACUGUUGAAAUCAUUAUUGUUAUUAUUAUUUUACAUGUGGCGAUUUUUCACUCGUUGAUGAGUUUUCCAUGUGGCGUCGUGGGGUAGCUUGGGAUUAGACAUUUUGGAUAUCACCACGUGACUCAAUCCUAAUGGUUUACACGUCGCGUUGUUUCAUUCUUCAAGAAAAUUACCACGUGGCACUUCCUUGUUGGUCUAUGUCACUUCGGUGUCCCUCCUUGUUGCCUAUAAAUAGGCCAAUACCUCUCUUACCCUCUCACUUUCUCAUAUUUUCUUCUUUGACAUCAGUCGUCCUUCGUGCCUCGUCUAGAAGUUCCCUUUCGUCAUUAGUCCUCUCCAUCUAGAAUCAGGUAUCCUCUUCUUUUUGUUUGUAGUGUCCUCGUCUAGUGAUAGGGAUGAAAGAGAAAUAGACGAGAAUUAUGACGAGAGUAAUAUUAGUGGUAGUAGCAGUGAGAGUAGCAAUAGUGAGAGUAAUUCCACGAACGAGCAAUACUCAUCUGGAGUUCCUAGGGUUCUCUAAAGGUCCUCUAGGAGGAGAUGAGGGGGAGGGCAGCUUCUAGGUCGUCUAUUAGCCCGUCCACAAGUGUUGAACUGUCCAUUCCUUCUCCUAGUGAAGAGGUGGACAUUAUAUAUAGUUAUGCUGUAAAAAUUUCGUCCAGAGUGUAUGAAAAGUGACUUCUCAUGCUUAGAGAUUGUGAGGGAUUUUCACAAUUUGCUCCAGUACCAAUGGGCUUGGUCUGCAAUCGAAUGCUAUAAAAGAUUUGUGCCCCCUCAUCCUUCACCAAUUGGUCAUUGGAUGGAUCGGUAAGGCACACGGUCCGACAAGUGGUAUCAGAGCCCAGUCAUAGGUUCAAGUCAUUGGAGCUGCAUUGUGAGGGAGGGAUUGUGAGAGAUUUUCACAAUUCGCUCUAAUACCAAUGGGCUUGGUCUGCAAUCGAAUGCUAUAAAAGAUUUGUGCCCCCUCAUCCUUCACCAAUUGGUUGUUGGAUGGAUUGGUAAGGCACACGGUCCGACAAAAAUAAAUACCAAAUUCUUGAUGAAGUCAAUCCUCGUCUUGCUGCCCCUAGUGAGUGGUGUUGUACCCCAAAUUCUCCUGGGGUUGGUAUAUACGAGGCUUACCUAUUAGGAGGCCUUAGGUUGCCUUUGAACGCCUUUACCAAAGAACUCCUUCAUAGGUUGGGUAUAGGGCCAACCCAACUUAACCCAAUGCGUGGAGGACCAUAGUGGCUAUGCAAGUACUAUGGAGAGAGGCUUUCGACGGGAACUGUCCUUUUAUUAUAGACGAGUUCCUAUUCUGUUAUAAGCCCUCUGAGAUAAGCCAAUCCCUUGGUUUCUACCAAUUCUCAGCUAGAGGCUCUAAUUGUAGGUUAAUUAGGUCCCUGCUCUCGUCUAAUAGGAGGUGGAAGAAGGAAUUCUUCUAAGUCUCUGGGUAUUGGGCUGGAAACCCUAUUGAGGUAGGUAGGGAUACUUUCCCUCCUUACACUGGUGAAAUGGGUUGUCUACGUUCUAAGGGUAUGUUGCUUACUUUUGUCUCGUCUUGAAUAUCCUGUUAUCAUUGUCUGACUCUUUUUUCAACAGUAGCUUGUCCCUCGCUGAACAAAUUUCGUUUGAAUCGCAUCCAGCAAGCACGCUCUUUUGUUGACAGAACCUUUCAUUCUCUAGUGACACUCCACUGUCUAUUAGCUUGGGACUUGGACCUGUUCCUACAGAGGUAGCAAUAGCUCACAAACUCACAACUCGUCAACGAAUGGCAACUAUGAAGGAGAAUAAGGGAAAAUUCCUUACAAGUGAUGCAGCUGUCCAGACAGAAGGGGACAUCCUUACUCAGUCUUGUCCAACAACCUCAGAGAAAAGGAAGACUAUAUCAAGGAUGCUUAAUACUGGAAGUCUUCCCAGCUGUUGAAGCAAUAAUAAGCCUAAACUUGGCUCUUUUACUCUGUCUAAGCCUCUUGUUGUCGAAACUAACCCUUCCAUUCCUCCUACUACAUCCAAUCAGCCGCCGACGGCCAAAACUCCUCUCCUUGUUAUGAGCUCGUCCAUGAACCCAUUUGCUGCUGCACCUCUUGAAAGUCGUCCAUUGACUCUCUUGAGAAGUGAGGGUCCUGCUUGGGACAGGUUCCAUCAGGUAGUGACAGACAAGGACAUCACUAUUUGCUAUGACAUGUCUGUGAAGGAGUUUGAAUGAUCCACAAUUUUCAAGGUCAUGUCUAAGUUCAUGGCAGCGUCUAGGCAAGCCAGAGCUAGACAAAGAAAGGACUAGGCUAGAGACGAGGGUUUGUGACAUGGAGAAGGAGGCGAGUCGCAAGGCUGGGGAGAAAGUAAAGUUGGAGGACGAGGUGAAGGAACUGAAGAACCUUGUCGAGGAGUUAAAGGUAUAUAUCGUCAAGAAGGAGACUCAUCUAGACCAUUUCCAGAAGAAAAAUGAUGAGUUUACUUCCUCUUUGAGCAAGGCUAAGGACGAGGCCAUUAGAGAAUUUAAGAUGUCUAGUGAAUUUACUUAACUUUUAGACAAGAACUAUGUUGCAGGUUUUGAGGACUUCUAUCUGGAUGCCACUGAAGCCUUUCCUAGGGUGGACUUCAAUUCCAUCAAGCUUCCCAUUACAGUUGAAAGUUCUUUACUUCAGACUAGCUCAGAGGACGUGAACAUUGAAGAUGAUGCCUCUACUCAUCUUCCAACUAAGAAUGAUUCAAAGUCUGGGGAUGUUGCCCCCAGUGGUUUAUCCAAGUAGUUUUGAUUGUAAGCAAAAAUUUAUUUUUGUUUUUACUUAUGUUGUUGGGGGUCCGUUGUUUUGGACCGUAUUUUAGUUUUUAUAAGUACAAUUUCCUCGUCCAUAAUUAUGGACAUAAGUUUUAUACAUUUGCCUUUUUAGGCUUAAAUAUUUUUAAGGGUUU
This is a long non-coding RNA of Quercus robur (English oak), 4734 nucleotides long. RefSeq lists it as uncharacterized. The transcript has 3 exons. The record is from RefSeq and is a predicted model, not a curated record. NCBI's taxonomy places the organism in Eukaryota, Viridiplantae, Streptophyta, Magnoliopsida, Fagales, Fagaceae.